CUUAGCAUUUACAAAAUUCUUUUUUAAAUUUUAGUAAUAGAAAAAGAUUAAUUUAAUACAGUUCUUUAUAAACAUAUCAAAUAACAAAUAUAUUUUUACAAAGUUCAACUUUUCAUAUUUAUCCCCAUAAAAAUCUAGUGAUAUUCAUAUUUACUUCUCUGAUUUUUUUACCAUUAGAGCGUUAUUUAUUUUUUAGCAGAAAAUAAGUAUAAAUUUUGCCAUCACAACUAUAUUCUUUUCAAAGCUCCAACUAUUAAAAUUAUGCAGAAAUAUUAUUUCAAAAAUUACUAAUAGUCAUUUGUUUUGUUUCUACCAUCACAAAUAAUAUAAGAGGAGUAAAAAUGUCACUUUAUUUUAUUCACUAACUAGGAUCAAGUAUUUUACUUAUGGUUAACUGUACUUUUCUAACGAACCUAAUAUCAGGGGUAUAUUUAAAAACGUUAGUAUUUUUGUAGAAAUAAAUAUAAAAAAAUUAAAUAAAAAAUAUAUCUAUUAUUUGAAAUAUUUACAGAAAACUGUAUGCAAUAAAUCCUAAAACUAUUGAUAAGACAAGUAGAGAGAUUUGAGCUAUUGUAUGUUACGGUCGUAAGAUUACAACUAAAGGUUGGAAACCAAAGGUUGGAAACCAUAGAGUGAUAUUUUGUUUAACAGUAGACUCUUUUAUAGUGAAAUAAAAUAAAGGGACAAUUAUUUAUAUACUCCUAAAAAAUUUUCCAUAUUCUGAUUUACUCUUGUUAGAAAUCUAAUAUUGGAAAUACCUUUUUUACGUUCCAACCUAUUUCAAAUAUACCCCUAGAGUUAAAAUCUGUUAAUGAACUCUGUUAUCGGUAUAAAAUUACUAUUUUGCCCUUUCAAAUAUAUUCUUCCACUAUCACUGACCUUUCUUAUUUGCCCUUAAGUCAGGGACACAAAAAAUAUUUUCACUUUUGGUUUUUUCAAAUAUACCCCUCUUCCGUCAUCAAUAUUUUUUCUUAUAAGAUAUAUUUUUUAAUCCGUCACGAAAUAUUUAAAAAUAACUGGAACUUGGAAUCAUUUUGAAGUAAUUAUGGCCUUUAAAAUAUUUAAUUUUGCUGCGUAACUUUUCGGUGAAUUUAACUUGAUUUAUUCUUAUACCUCUAAAAAUGUUUUAUCCACAAACCGUAGUUUAGUUUGUUAUAAUUUUUUAUCCUAAGAAUUGAAUGAUUGAAAAAAAAAAAAAAAUCAAAAAAAAAAAAAAAAAAAAAAUACAACCUUGGCACCACAUUUACACCCCUGACUAAAUGAAAUCACUUUGGCAAGCAGCCAUGAGGUUUUUUUUUUUUAUUUUAUUUUAUUUUUUUUUAAGGGAGAGAGAGAGAGAGAGAGAGAGAGAGAGAGAGAGAGNAAGAACCCUCACUCCACACAAUUUUAAUCUUAUUAUAUUAUAUAUUUGAUUUUUAAUUAUUUCAAUCUAAGUUCUAUCUUUGGAUUAAACUAGAGAUCAAUUUAGUUAAGGGUUUGUCCGGUUCAAUGUAAAAUUAUGAAAAAUAAUUCUUCGUAAAAUUUUUUUUUUUAUGUUUUGUAGUGUUUGGUUUGUAGAAAAAAAAAAGUAGCUUUUCAUCGAUAUUUAUUUGGUUAAAAAGAAAAAAAAAAUUACAUUUGUUUGAUUCGGUUGAAAAAAAAUGAAUGUAAAAAAGUUUACACAACUUAAGUUUUCGUUUUUCGCUGAAAAACAGCGAAAAACGAAAUCUUCAAAUUUUUUUUUGCCAAAUCCAUAAAAGUACUUUUACGCCGAACCAAACGAGCGAAAGAAAUAUUUUCAUAUCAAAAAAUAAAUUUUUAUUCAUUUUAUGCCGAACCAAGCGCCCCCAUGAUUACUUUGAUUUAAUAAAUACUUUGAUGGUAAAUAUAGAUUGGGAACGAUGCGGAUGGGUACCGCAUGACGAGCGACGCACCCGUCGCAGAAACAGAAACCGAAAAGGUAAAAAAAAAAAAAAAAAAAAAAAAAAUCGUACGCACUGAUUUCUUUAGAGAGAGAAAAUAAUGCAGAGGAAAAAAAGAGAGGGUGAGAUGGGCCACGCCACGCCCAUUCAGAGAGUCCCCAAAUAAUCUUAUUUGGAUAGUAUUGGCGUGUUUGAUUCGCUUCUUUUUUAUCCUGGAAUCGGAAUCGGAAUGAAUGAAUCUGUUUGUGGGUGUUUGGUACGUGGGAGUCCCUUUCCGAUUCCGAUUCCCGAGUGGAAUGGGAAUCCCCCAAUUAUCUCUUUUUCCAAUAACAUUUUUUUGGAUGGGAAAUAGUGAAAGUUGAAUCCGGACAGAAUGGAUAUUUAUUCGGAUUAAAUUUAUUUUUUCAACUUUUUUAAUUAAAAAUAUGAGUUAAAAUUUAAAAAAUAAAUAUAUAAUUUUAAAUUUUAAUUUGAACUUAAAUUAAAAAUUAAAAUUUAAUCAAGUAUUUCGAAUCUAACUUAUGAAUUUGAAUUUAAAUUAAAUUUUAAUUUAUAUAAAGUUUUAUUCAAAUUUUAUUUCAAACUUAAAUUAAAUUUAUGGAUUCAAAUUACAAUUUAAAUUGUAAUUUUAAGUUUGAAUUUGAAUAAAUCAAAAUUUUAGUUUUAUAUUUUGAAUUAUCCACUCAACUUCAAAGUUUAAUUUUUUUUAAACAAUAGAUUUAAAAUUUGGACAUUAUUUCAAAAUUUUGAUGUAAACUUUUAAUAUUUAAUUUUUAAUUUCAAUUUAAAGUAAUAUAUUAUAAAGAUAAUGUUAGUAUAUUAAUUUGAUUACGUUUUUUAUAUCCACCUUAACUAAACUCCAACAAUGGGAAUGAUUUAUUCCGAUUCCGAUUCAGGUGAUGAACCAAACAGAAUUAAUUAGAAUUAGCUCUUACAUACUGUUGGUGUAUAAAAUUAUGACCUAUGUUGGUGAUCGAUUCGGCUCAUGUGGUCGAGUAAGAAAGCGACACAUGGUACAUCAAGAGUAGUUUCAAAUAUUGCAGUAAUAUUUUAGGGCUUGUUUGAUUCAUCCAUUUUGGGUAUGGAAUGGGAAUCGAUUUGAUUAAAUCCGGUUAAUUUUGUUUGGUUCGCAUGAAUCAGUUUGGGAUUCCUAUUCCGGACUGGAAUGGGAAUGACCCAUUAGCCUUCAACUUGAUUCCGGUCUUCUAGCCCUGAUUGAGAUUUCAUUCCGGAAGCCCACUAAGUUCUCGAAGCCCAUGUGACCAUCUCACCCUCCUUCUCUUCACCCCUUUCUCAUCAAACAAAAAAAAAAAUCUAUCCUCUCUCAAAACCCUAUCCCUAACCCACAUCAAUAAAAGUUUUUAAAAAUAAAUUUGAUAUUUUUUUUGAAAAACUUAUUAGAGAAUAGUAUUAUAUUUUUUAUAAAUUUUAAACAAUAUAAAUUUAUAUUUGAGAGUAAAAUUACUAUUAUAGUAUCCUAUAAUUUUUUAGUUUAUACGAAUCAAACAAUGAAAUGUGAAUAACUCAUUCUAGUUCCCAAUCCACAAAUAAACCAAACGUCUAGGAGGAAUGGGCCAUUCCAAUUACCAUUCCAAUUCAUUCUCAUUUCAUUAUCCAUUCCAAUUUCACUCUUGAACCAAACAAGCCCUUAAUGUAUAAAACUAAACGACGAAUUUGAAUUUGUAUAUAGCUACAACUAUAACUUCAUGCAACCAAAUAACCCCGGAUAUUUUUUGAAAUAUGCUACCUAUACACACUCCUUGUAUGUGCAUAGAUCUUGCAUUUCAAGAUCUAAAGGUUGAUAAAAUCAUCUUAGGUUUUAGGUUUUUUUUUAAAAAAGAAAAGACAAAAGUGAAAACAAAAUGGGUGGCAAGAAUACUUUGGGUGUGUAAUUUACAUCUGCCCUAUGGCCUAUGGGUGUCAGGAUAGCAUUGCUUGUAAAGUUUAGGCUAAAUUACACUUUUAUUCCUCAAAGUAUAAGAGCGUAAUAUUUUAAUUCUCAAAUUUUAAUUUAUCAUAUUUUUUGUCUUAAUUUUUUAGAUUGUUGCAGUCAACUCAUUCAGUCUAAAUAAUUGAACCAGAUGGUGAUGUGUCAAAUACUACAAUGAUGUGACAGUAUUGCGGUUUAAAUAUGAUGAUGAUAAUAAUAAUGAUAUAAUGAUAUGCCGUAUUAUUAUUUUAUUAGCAACAUAUUAAUAUUUAGUUAAAUAAAUUAAAUAAUAAAACUCGAUAAAGAAGUUUAAAAAUCGAACUAAAAAUUAUAAUGAAUUAAAGUUUGAUAAUUAAAAGUGUCAGCCGCUUCAUAAUUUAAGGGCCACAAGUGCAAUUUAGCCGAAGUUUAAUUUGUUUACAAAUUCAAGUCCCAAUCUUAUUAUGCCAAUUUCUAUCCUCCAUAUUACUGUUGUUUCAAACAGUUCAAAAUUUUAAGAUGAUUGUUGAAUUCAUCUCCAAACUUUAUAAAUUUAAGUUGAAAGAUGAUAUUGAUCAUGUUCGAGUAUACGAUCGCACAAGUUGAGCAAGUCGAUCAAGAAAAUGUUAAAUUUGUAUCAUUUUGAGUUGGCUCUCUUGCCUUCUAAACAGAGUUUAUCUGAACUAUGAAUUGUUUUGAGCCGGCUGUCCAAUCCUUCAAAAUUUUAAUUUUACUAUUUAAAAUUUUAAUUUAUUUAAUUUGAAUUAGACGACAAUACUUUGAUUUAAAAAAUUUAAUAUGUCGUUUAUCUUUACAAGUUUAGUUAAUAUACUUUAUAUAAUUCUCGCAAUUAUAAAUUUAUUAAAGUAAUUAAUUAAAAUUUUACAGUCAAAAUAUCGUUGGCUGACUUAACUCGAACAAAUUAAAAAUUUAAGCAGUAAAAUUAAAUUUUCGGAAGGUCAAAAUAGCUAACUCAAAAUGGUAUAUAGUUCAGAUAAGUUCUAUGCGAUUAAAAAAAAAAAAAAAAAAAAAAAAAAAAAAAAAAAAAAAAAAAAAAAAAGGCGCAAGUGGAGAUUAAAUAUUCUUCAUGAAUUAAAUGAAUUCAACAAUCAUUCUGAACAUUUUGGUAUCCCUGAGACAAUUGUAAAUUAUGGAAUUUAAAUUUAUACAUUUUUAUUUAUUAAAAACGUACGAAACUCACUUGAACUACAAUGAAUUUUGAUUCAAUGACUUAACAUUUAAAUAUUUUGACUGUUCAACCUGAUCUUCUAACUCAUUUAAUUUGAGAUAUUUAAGGACUCUUUAAAUUUUAAAUUUGAAUAUGUUUGAUUAUUUUUGCAAACUUAAUUAGUUUAUUUCAUAUAAUAUACGCGACUAUAAUUUUAUUAAAGUAGAUAGGGUGUCCAAAUGGCCGAAAUCAAAUAAAUUAAAAGUUGAGAUGCUAAAAUCAAAAAAAUUUAAAAAUUAGGUACUCGAAUCAAAACGAACCAAGGUUCAGAUAAUAUUGAUUCAAUCUUCUUUUUUUUUUAUGCACGAAAAUAAUUAAUACAUUACGUGGGAGUGCAGGGAUUUUAUUAUUAUUAUUUUACUAAUCUUCUCGAUUUAUUUUUUUCAAUACUACAAUCGUAAAAAAGAUUAUAAAACUCUUAAAUAGAUAAUAUAAGAUGUGCACGCUACUCAGAUGGUGUACAUAUAGAAUUUUUCUUAUUUUAAUGGCUUGAAUUAAAAGUAAAGCGUGGGUGAAAAAGCGAAAAUGUUUAUUCAUUCUAAACUAAGAAGGGAAAAGAAUAGGGAGCACAUUUGUUGUAACCUCGUGCCUCGUACUAUGAUUCAUGGUUGACGAGCAGUGAGAUCAACAAUAAGGGAUGUAAGAUUUACAUUCCUAUAAUCCAUGACUAAUAAGACUUCUGUAUCUUGUCAAAUUUUUUUUUUCUUAAAAUAUUAAAAAUAUAUUAAAUAUUGUGAACUCUAAAAUAAGGGUGUAAAAUCUAUAACCAUCUUAGGGAUGUACCUGUAGAAUUACCCUUUUCCCACACACUUCUCCAGGAACAUGUAGGGUAAUCAUUGUACCUGAGUUCAUUACAACCAUAAAUGAGAAAAGGCCAAAAGUUAGACAUAGAUGGUGGCAUUGCAGAGGAAAAAAUGUAUGGAUAUUCACUGUACUACAGUGACUUAGUUUAUGCACUCACAAUUUAACCACUGUUCUUUCCAUGUCUGAUCAACAUGCCUAUCCUUGGAUCUUCUUAGUUCAGGAAUCUAUUUAUGAAAUAUGGAAUAGUUCAGGGAAGGUCCAUAAUGUUUUGCCUUUAUUCUAUUUCCCAAUAAUGCAACUUUGUUCACUGUUCUCUUAUUCUGUUUCCUACUAAAAAAGAAAACUCUAGUUACAUUAAUGGAAAAAUUAUUGGAUGGUACUUUUGGAAGGACAUUUGGAAAUACCUUAUAUCUGAAUAUAUAGCCAAGGAUGCCAGUAGGAAGGAACCAACUUAAGAUUUUUUUUUUAAAAAAAAAAAAUAGUGAACUUCAAUUUGGCCCUUAGUGGUUUAACACAUUUUCAAAAGUUGCACUUAACUACCCUAUAUUUUAUUCUUAUUUCACCAUAAGUACUUACCAUUAAAUAAAAUUAAAUAAAAUAAUAUUGUGAAAACCAAAGGAUGAUAUAGCAUCAAGUUUUAUUAUCCUAUAAUUUACACUUUACUACCUUAUGGCACUUAUGAGCACCAUUUUUAUAAGUGGCGGUUUAAAGUGUUGGUCAUUUAACAUUUACUAGCAAUUUGUAAGAAGUGCCAAUAAAAUAACUACUGACAGAUGUUUAAUCGGCACUUGCGAGUGCUGCAAAAAACCGCCGCGGAAAAAACUUUUUCUGCCACUUGUUAUACAUUUUUCGGCUGUUUAAAUUGCCCCUCAAAUCUCUUUUGGUUCUGAUUAACUAUACUUAAUAGUGGGUCCAUGGGUGAAACAAAAUUAAAAUGAUAAGAUAAUUAAAUACAACUUCUUGAACCUCAGAUUGGCAAAGUGAAAACGCGCUAAAAAUUAAAAUUUACCUAAAAAAAAAACAGCUAUGCAAUUCCCAUAUUAUAAGGUCCAAAUAAGCACAAGGACAAGGUUAUAAAGGUAUGUAAAUCCAAAAAAGAGAGAACAAAUAAAGUUGGUGAUCAUGCUUAAGUGUCCUAUUCCUCAACAUUGCUCAUGAAACUCACAUUUACAAAGCUAAAUGUCAUGCUCCAAGCAAAACUCAUUGGUUCCAAAUGCAAAGAAUGUGACAGCAAAAAUUAAAAAAGCAGAACAACAUAGAGCUCAAGAUGUCAAGACAAGAAGGAGACAGAUAAUUUCUUUAGAUGAAAGAGAUGCAGUAACUAACAGCCUCAUUCAACACUUGAAAAUAACCCCCAAAAGCAAAAGUAAAGAGUGCUCUGAAUACUAACCGACAUUUCGUAGGGCCUUGAAUCUGUGGAGGUGAUGCUGAUACAGUCCUAUGUGAUGCCUACAAUCCACCUGUUGAUUGCCACAAUGAGACUUUCCCCUCAAUCAAUGAUAAUAUCAGUAAAAUAUAUAAAUCUUGUAGUAUCUAAUAAGCGUACGACAGUAGAUAAAAUUCAAUAUUUGCAUCAUAGAAGAAGCUUGUGUAGCAUAUUAAUGCUAUUCAGUAGAAGCAGAUUACUCUAUCACAGUAGGAAAGAAAGCAUUCUCUAAUUCUUUGCUGAUAGUAGUAUAUCGAAUAUCGGGCUAUCAUUCGUUCCGCAAGAAUUUAUAAUUGCUCCUGGAUAUACAGAGAGAGAGAGAAAUAACAGUAGAGAUUGCUGAUUUGCAGUUGAUACCAACUGUAAGAUUCUUGAGAAAGAAACAUUCUGAAAAUACAUAACCAAGACAGAAAUUAAAACUACGGCACAAAGAGGUAUACAAGAUAAGCAUAUGCUUGUGGCAAUCAGUUUGAAUCAGUUUGAAACAGACCAGGCAACUUACACCAUAUAUCCUUGUACUGCCCAUCCAUUAGCUAUCUUUUCCUUUCUCUCCAUCAUGGUCACCACUGUAAAUAAUUUGUUGCUAAGUUCUUCUUUCAUUAACAUGAAGCUGAACUCAAACAUUCGAUUCUCUAUUUUUGACAAAAUGAUUGAAACAACAAAAAGUGCUACUAACCGACCGUCCCUAGAGUAAGUGGCAAAGGGCUUGAUAGUUGGUACCCGAGACCCAAGUUCGAAUCCUAGUUGAUUCACAUUUCUAGCUUAGUUUAUUUCUAAAUGAAAUAAACGAAGCGGGUAGCGUGCUACCUAUCUCUCUCAAAAACACAAAAAGUGCUGCUAAAUUAUAUGAAACAACUGUUUUUCUUCAAAAGUUUAAGCUACUAGAUAACCGUGUUUUCAGUAUUUAUAUUUAACACUCCCCACUACGUCUAGGCUCGAGAUGUUUUAAUAAAUCUAAGACGUGGACUCGAAUUAAACGGAGGGAAAUUAAUGAUGCUAGGAGCCGGGUGGGAUUUGCACUCAGAACAUCAUGUUUUAAUACUACAUUAAAUUAUAUGAAAUAAACGUUUUUCUUUAAAAGCUUAAGCUACCAAAGAACAGUAUUUUUAGUAUUUAUAUCCAACACACGAAGCCUGCUAUUACUACAAAAGUGACAAAAAUAUACAAGAAGCUAGGCUGCACAAAAGCUUAUAAAUCAUGCUGAUCGAUUCCAGCCCGCCCUAAAACGGCCAACACUAGAAUCCACUAAUUCAAAUUCUAAAAAUCUAAUAAAUCAUGAUAUGAAGCAUAGUUUAUACCAGAAAAACUAAUUUGAGUUGAUUCACAAAAGACAUUCGAGUAAACUUUAUCUCCUUACUCCUUAUGAAUGAAGAGCAAACUCAGAUCAAUGCUACCUAGAAUGGGAUGCAUCGUGUUAUGUUGCAUGUGUAUGGGGACAUGGUGCGCUAGUUUCUGGGGAACGCGGCCCAAGGAGGGUACGAUUAUUCGGAAGGUUAUUCCAAAAUGUGGUUCUUUCAGAACGUCGAUACGGUCAUAUAUGGUAUCAACUGUCCACGAUACUGAAAAGCUGGAGCAUUUCAUGAUUUGGCGGAGUACUGCUCUGACAAUCAAACGCUACUUGAGUCAAAAUUAAACUUUUGCACUUGAGUUAGGAGCCAGAAAUUCUUGUGACAUUAGGUUAUGCACAAAGGCCUCGACUUAUAUUAAUUAUAGUUGCAUUUCAGUUUCCUUCAUCUAUGAUCUAGACUUCAACCACGCCCAGCAGAAUAUCAUAGCGCCAAUUUAAGCAACAAGCGCUCCUAUAAAUUUCAUGCCAAGCUCCCCUCUCACGUUCAUUAUUUUGUCCAUUAGCUCUACUACAAUAUCUAGAUGAUAGAUAAAAGAGUUCAACAAGACACAAUAACACAAGCAACCACUCCGUUAAAGGAGACUUAUCAACUUAGAGCCUAUUUCAGUACAUGAAAAUCUCGUUCAGCAUAUCUAUUUUGUUAACUCGAUGGGCAUGCGGUGAUUGGUUUAUGCCGAGUAUGCAUAUGUCUAUAAUUGCAUAGUAUUUACGGACUCAAAGACUUUUUCCUCAGGAUACAAUAAAACACUCUGUUAGUCGAAUGCAUUAUCCUUAAAAUCACAUUAUAAGGAUCUUGCAAGAACUGAAAUUGAACUUCUAGGUUGCGAUCAUAAACAUAAAUCUCAUAUUGCACAAGCUAUCAUUGAUUUAUAACUUGUUCUGACAUCCAAACAAGCCCCUAUUUUGUUCUAGCCCUAUAACCUCGUAUUUUUGCAAGAAAGUCUUGGAUUAAAGUGAAACUCUGGCAGUAUAUCUUAUGCCAAAACAAAACGAGAAACAACUAAGAAGAAAAUAACCUCCAGCUAAUCAGCAAAACAGUUGACAGCUUGAUAAAGGAAUAACAAAUUAAUAUUUCACCAUAAAUUAUCCCAAAAAGAAAAAAAAGGAAGAGCAACUACAUGGUGUUCAGCACAAAGCAGAUAAAGCAUCAUCACUCAUAAUAUCUAAACUUUCGUAGGACAGCACAUCCAGAUACAUAAACAUACAUAUACAUAAACAUUGUGACGAUAAAUAAAAAUUCAUAAAGACAGGAGAACAUAAGCAAGCAAAUUGGACAAUUAGAAAACCACAGUAGCAACCAUAUGUCGCUUCACAAGCAAGAUUAAAAAGCUCAAAGAGGGUAAGAACAACAACUUAGAUAUAGCAAAUUCAUUUUUCAUUAAGAUGGGAAAAAGAGAAAUAUGAGGCCGUUUCCAGCAAUAUGAAAGUUCAUGCAAAAUGUUAAGCACAAAUUAUCCAUUAUUUUUCUCUUUUUAUUGGAAAUGCCCAUCUGAACAAGCAAAAACGAGUACAGAUCUCAGCAAGAGAAGGUUGAUUCGGACACAACUGGAAAAGGUUGAGCCAUAAACACUAGUAUCAUUAAAAUCUUCACCAUCAAAUUAACAAAAUCAAGAUGAAACAACAAAUCAAAAAACAAACAACCUUUUUUUUUUGUUCUCUUCUCUACAUAAUCAUCGGUUAUACCACUGGAGAGUCACGUCAAAUCUGGCUCUGAUGCAAGCUGAUCCACACUCAUCAGCCUCAUAGACCUAACCAUGAAGUCAUCAGAAGCACGGAUUCGAACCAACCUAUCUCGUAUAGACACAAACGAUGGAACUUCCAACACUUCAGAUGCUCUCUCUCGAUAAGCCGGAUCUUCAGUAAAAUUCAUUAAAGCUUCAGCGGCGUAUUCUCUCAGCUCCUCCGCGUCAUUUCUCAACACACCAAUAAGAACAUCGACGGCCCCUGCUUCAGCCAUAGCUUCCCUAUUUGCUCCUUCGUAGCUUAGUUGCCCAAUGGCCGCCGAAGCCUUUUCUUUUAACUCGUCAUUUCCAUUUUCAAGAAGCUUAACCAGAAUCGGAAUUACGCCCGAACUUCGAACUACCGAAACUGAAUGAGUGUACCCAGAAAGGUCCCAAAUAACGUCCGCCGCUGCCGCUUUCGCAUUUUCAUCUCCACUCUGAAGAAUCCUCACCAAAUGUUCUAGUAUCAACGCGGCAUUCUCUUCAGCCACGGCCAAUACGCAAAACACAUCUUCCGCGAUCUCUUUCCCGAGAGGUUCGGCUCCUUGCAGAAGCUCCACGUACAAAGGUACGGCACCGGCCUCUGCCACAAGCCGCAGGUAGUCUACGUGAGAUGAGAUUAUUCCAAGCGCAUUGCCCGCGAUUAACCUAGCCGAUUCAUCACCAUCCUUUAGUAACCCGACAAGUGCUCGUAUCGCCCCCAAUUCCACGAGCAUAUGCCUGACCCUCCGCGCGAUACCGAGCAACCCGAGGGCCUGCGCCGCGCGAGUUCUCGAAGCCAUUUUACCAUACGAAACGGCUUCGAUGAGGUAGGAAAGGCCGCCUAAAUUCGCGAUCACCCUCCGCACUUCUCUAAGCAAUGCCAAAGCGCUGAUGAUUUCCAGCAAGUACUUCUUCGUAUCGUCGGCGCAAACAGAGACCAGAUCCAAAAUAGCUUCCAAACCCCCACUUCGCAUGAGGAUCACCCGAUUGGGGUGGUCGAACGAGACGAGCGCGCUUAGCAAUCUAAGCAGAAUUCUCCGGAAUCGGUAUUCGGAAUCGGGCAGCAGUCUGAGAACUACUGGAAUUGCACCGGAUUGGCCGAUUAUCGGGGCCAGCCGGCAGCCGAAGCUGCAGGCAACAUGGCACAAAGCGUAGGCAGCGGCAGACCAGAGAGUCGGACUCGAGCCGCGGGCUCGAUUUGCGAGCCGUGCGAGCUCUAAAGUGGCUUUGGCCUGCAAUUUUUCGGCCCCAUCGGUUUCGACUACGCGUAUGUACAAAUGGACUGCUUCGUCCCAAUCAAUGCUGCUGCUACUACUGCUGCUGCUGCUGCUGCAACUACUACUACCGUGGGAUUCAGAAACUGGGGCACAAUCCAUGCUAGUAAAAAUAUUGGUGAAUUCCUAGAAAAAGUAGCUUCAUAUAGAAAGGAAACCAAAGCAUUCGACCUAUAUAAGCACUUUAUAGCAAUCAAAAAACGCAAAAAAAAAGAAAAGAAAAAUUGUUUAGGGUUUCGGUAAUAAUGGGUUCGGGACGGGGAGGAAACCCUAGAAUUGAGGCAUCAACUAUCGAUCGUCGUGCGGGGAAUCUAAUUUGACUGACCGGGAUUAAGAAACGGAGGGGCUCUCCGAAGGGUUUUUGCUCGUCAGAUUAUGCUCGUGUGAUAUUAUUUUCGCAUUCGCAGGUUUUUUUUUUUUUUUUAAUAUUUUUGGCCGAGCACGGUUCCCAUUUCCCAACCCAGAUAGAUCGACGCCGGUCGGGCCUUGUACCGAAAGGGUGCGUUUGGUUCAGGUAUAAGUAAAAAUUACUUGUUCCAGGAAUAAGUACAAGUUCAGGUAUAAGCGGAAAUUAGACCAAUUUUACGUUUGGAUGAAAAUUGAAUUGUUCCUAGUAAUAAAAUAAAUAGCAUUUGGAUGGUUAAAUUGGAAUAAAUAAAUAAUAAAUAAAAAUUCAUUAUAAAACUACAAUUAAUUAAUCUAUUAUAUUACAAUUAAAGUUUAAUAUUGAAAAUAAGAAGAAGNAAUAAUAAUAUCGAUUAUCUAUUUCUUAAGAAUAAUAAUUAUUAAUAAUUAUUAUUUAAUUAAUAAUUAUUAAUAAAUAAUAAUUAUUAAAUUAAUAAUUAUUAUUAUCUAAUUAUAAAUAAUUAAUUAUAAUUAAUUAUUUAUUUAUUUAUUUUAUUAUUUCAGCAAUAGAUAAUAAUUGAAAUAUAUUAAUUAGAUUAAUUAAUAAUUUACUAUCAUUAAAAUUUAAAUUUAUAUUUAAUUAACCUUGUUCUCAUUCGGGAACAAGCUUGUUCCAGGAAAAAGGUGGAACAACAGUUCCAGCUAGUUCCAGUCUUAUACCAGAUAGUUCCAGAAACCCAGGAACUACUGUUCUCGGUUACCAAACGUUGCAUUUGGGAACAAAGGGGGGAACAAGGGCUUAUUCUCCCCCUUGUUCCCGAACCAAACACUACCAAAAAGUCUAGAAUGUACCCGUUACAUUGUUGAUGUGGUAUUUUUAACCAAUUAAUUUUUUUUAAAAAAAAAUUUAAAAUGCAACACUUAUGACUAAUAUUGCUGUAUUGGUAUUCCUAACCACUCAAAAUGCUCUCCUAGAAUUUACCCAGCCAACCAUAAUUUUUUAAAUAAUAUUUUUAUUAUAUCGUUUUUCUCAAAAAAAAAGAUAUGAUUGAUUAGGGAUAAAUUAUGCGGUGUAAGUGUUAUACAGUAGGCUUCCUCCUCCCCCUUAAGUUCAUUCAUUCCAUUGUAGUUAUUAAAAAAUAUUUUUAUUAUACUUUUCUGACAAAUAGAGAGAUAUAUUGACUGAUUGUUGAUGAUGUGGUGUAAGUGUAAUAUAGUAGAAUUUUUUAUUUUUAUAAUAAAUAGUUGCACUAAAAUUUUAUUAUUUUUAACGAAUUUAUCUACAUCCUAUUCUAAUCCUACAUAUUGGUCAAAUUUUAUAGAUAAGAAUUUACUUAGUUUCAUGUCUUUACUUUCGAUUAAUUUCACUAUUUCAUUACCAUUUUUUUUUUCUUAUAGUUUUACAUAAAACCAAACAACCUCUUACUCGAAAAUCAAACAUGCCAAAUAACUCACGAAUAGAAGUGCAAAUAGCUUCAGUUUGGUUGAGCUCCUAUUCCGCAUAGGGCAAUAAGUGAGAACUAAAAAUAUAAAUAAAUAGGCUAAAUUACAGAAAACCUCCCUAUAAUAACCCGCUUUUUCACUUCCCCCCUGACAUUUAAAAACCUACACUUUGCUCCCCUGUAAAAUGAAAAAUGUGCACUUCACCUCCUACCGUUAGGGUUCCGUUAAAAAAUAAUUUUUUAUGCCGAAAAUACCCCUCUGCCAUUGCUGCCGCCGCCUCCCCGCCCCGCAUUAUGCUCCCGUGGCCGUAAUUCGCAGUGCCGGAGGUGAACAUGUCGCUCCGCGCGACGGGCCUCAGCGGCGCCGCGCCGGGUUUCGCCGGGCCUUAGCGGCGCCGUGCCAUGCCGUGCUCGUCGUGGAGGCUGCGGUGGGGAUGAUCGGGACGAAGCCCGUGCGGCGGUGCCCGGGUUUGGAAGCGGCGGCGCCGGCGGAGUUGUGAGCGGCCUUCCUGCUCGACCUGAAGAGAAACUCGCCGGAGUGAGUUUGGCGCCCCGCGAGGCCGGCGGAGGAGAGUGAGGAGAGAAGAUGGGGAAGAAGACGACAAUGGCGAGGGACAAAAUGGUCAUUUUACACACCGUAACUCCCUUCUGAACAUUUUUUAUUUUACAGGGGGGCAAAGUGUAGGUUUUUAAAUGUCAGGAAGGAAAAGUAAAAAAGUGGAUUAUUAUAAGGAGGUUUUUUGUAAUUUAGCCAAAUAAAUAUAAUCUAUUUUGAAUUCGUUUCGAUCCGUCAAGUGCAGGAGACGAGAGAUCCGUGUUUUUCUUCGAUCUAUUCUAACGUGCUAAAAAAUUGUCAAAAAAUUCGAUCCUCUCUUCCAAUCCAUUUUUAAGAUUAAGAUUAAUUCGUUCCGAAUUCUCUGCCGUCCGGUCCGUCCACGUUUGCAUCUCUAAGGACGGACAGGGAGCAGCGUUUUCCCUAUUUAUUAGUGGAUAAGAGCCAAGAAGAUAUUCCGCCUCCGGGGGCUUUCUCUCUCCUCUCUCUCUCUCUUUCCAAAAACCAACCAUUCGCCGCUCACCGUUCACCACCAGUAAUGGGGAAAGCGUUUCCUUCUAAUUCCCCCCGACCUUAUUCUCCUUAGAAACAGGGGACGCAACAAUUCACUUCAAUGGCGCUGCUAGGUCUCCACCCCUCUCCCCUCUUCUUCUCCUCCCCUCCUCCAUCUUCUUCAUCUUCUUCUUCUUCUUCUUCUUCUCCUCUCUACGGUCUGCGCCGUUGCCUCGCCGUCGUCGGCUUCGCCGUCUUCUCCUCCCACUCCAACCCCCGCCUCCUCAAGUCCGGCCGCCGAUCUCGCCAUGGCCGGAGAACGCCGCCCUACAGCGACGAUGCGGAGGAGGAGGAGGGGGAGAGCAAAGAAGAGGAGUUCUCUGAUGAUGUGAGUGGCUUUGAUUAUAUUGUUAUUUUCUUGUUGUUUGAUUGAUGUGUUGGAUUGGAUUGUCACAUCCUAUUAUUCCCACCUCUGAUCAGACCAAAAAGAAAAGAAAAGAAAAGAAAAGAAAAGAAAUUGUGUGUGAUUUAGGUUUAAGCAUUUUUGGGCCAGUGGUUUGGGUUGAACGAAUUAUUAGCGCUAAUAGGCUCGGACGUUGUAUUUGAUAUCAGAACCAAUUUGAAAAUAUGUGAUGGGUCUCACAUUUCAUGAUGCACAGUGCACUAGUAAUAAUAACUGGAUUUAAGUAUUUUGGAUUGGUGAUUUAAAUCCAACGAGUUAUUAGUGCUAAUAGGUUGGGUCAUUGCAUCUUGUGAAUUGAAUCCUUAUCUUGAAUUGUUUAAGGUUUUUUGUGAUCCCGUUUUUGUAAUUGAAUUGAUGAUGCUGAUUAAUCGAAUCAUUCAUGCUAGUUAAUGAUGUUUCGCUCUAAAUUCGUUAUUCAGUUUUGUGCAUAGUUCUGUUCUUGUGCCUGUAAGCAGCACCAACACUCCUGUGGGUGUUGCUGUAUUGGAGUUUGGGCUCCUUAUGCUGAUGUGCUUUGAGUCGAGUGAGAUGGAGAUGUGUUGUUUGAUUGAGGACGGAGUGGCGUCUUGUUGGUGGUUGGGGUGAGGUUAAUUUCAAUGAUUGGUUGUACGAUAUGGGAUGGUGUGUGUCAUGCCUGCCGUGCUUAUGUAGACGGGUCAAAAACCAACUUGUGUGACAACACAUAUUGGCUUAAAAAACUUAUUUCUUUGGCAUCAAUAUAUUUUAAUUGCCUAUUAUAUAUCUUUGUCAAAUUUUCUGAAUUUUAUUAAGAUAACUAUUUGCUAAUUGCAAAGAAAAAGGAUUUUAAGACAUGCCAUCAUCAUAGGGGUCGUAUCAUGCUGGUAUCUUGUUAGCAUGAUAAGCCACGAUGGAUGCGGCCCAUGCUGAUGGGCAUUUGAAUCCUUAGGUUGAGUUUUGGUGGUGUGGAAAAGGGUGAGAGAGAGGUGAUUUGGUGUUUCACUUGUGAAUGAGAUUUUAUGGGCUUUGGAAGAGAGACUUGUCAAGAAGAAGUAUUGCUGUGGUGUGCUGUUUCUUGACAAUUUGUUGUGAGAACAACUAUGCUGUGGUGUGUUGUUUCUUGGUAAUUUGUUUCUGAAAACAGUUAUGCUAUGGUGUGCUGUUUCUUUAGGAUCAGUACGUUGCUCCUCAUGAUAUUUUCAAUCCUAGCCCACUGGUGCUCUUCAAUCACUAAUUAUACUUGCCCAAUCGCUAUCAAAAAUGCCAUAGAUAGAAAAUUCUUAGUGUACCAUAACUCGAGACUAAUGCUUCCAUUGGAAUAUCUCAUAAUUUUCUUUCACUGCACUCUUUUUCAUAAACUAAGGUAACUGCAAGUUCCUUGCACAAUAAUGGCUCGGUAUUUAUCACUUACAAGUAAUUUCGGUGGACAGCGCGUUGGUACCCUCCUUUUACCCUCAAUAUUUGAUGCUUCAGCUAUCUUAUUGUUAGGCACGAUGCUGCCACCUGCUGCGUAACUAUCUCUGUUGCCUAUGCCUGGGAGAUAUUGCAGAAUUAUGCUCCUUUACCUUGGUGCAUAAGGAGUCACCAACUAUCGCUGAUUGUGGCUCCAUUUUUAGUCCAGGCCAUCCUUUGUUAACCCUACUGCACUGAAUGUUCUUCCCCCUGCCACCUCUCUUUCCUUUGCUUUGCUACCGUCUCCCCUCUACCACUUCUUCGCCUCUUCCUGUGUUCCUUCUAAACCUCUGCUGGCAACUGCUGCUGCCUUAGUUGCGCCGACACUAAAAUCCCUCUGCCUGAUCAUAGUUUAUGGUCUCUUUCUUCGUUCCUUCAAGCUGCUGUGUCACCCUCAUCACCCUCCCUUCUAUUAUAGGAUCCUUCAGUAACAACCGAGAAAUGCUUGUCCAGUCUUUCAACUUUCAGUCAGAUGGUUCAUUCGCUUGUGAUUUGGAUUUUGAUCUAUCCCAUGUUGGAUUUGAUCUGAAUUCAGCUGUAAAUUAGAGGUUGCUGGUAUAGUUGCAUCUGUUGCCAUCGCUUUUCUUCCUCCUUUAAGCCAGCCCGCUUCCCUACCGUUCAUCCUCCACCUUGGUUCACGCCCUUCCUCUUUCACUCUCUUAUAGAGUUAGUUCUCUAUAAAGUUGAGUUUAGUGAUGUAAACAGAAUCUGAGCUCUAUUUAAAGAUAUGUAUUCCACAGGACAGGAUCAUCCGUGUUUCUCUCUCUCUCUCUCUCUCUCUCUCUCUCUCUUUCUCUCUCUCUCUCGUAGCUUAGGGGCUGUUUGGUUGUACGCAUUUGCAACUGCAGUGCAGUUGCAAAUGCAUGCAGCCACAAUUCCUUUGUUUGGUUUAGUGUAGUUGAGUUCAAUUGCUGCAGUUCCAACUGCACAAGAAGGGCCAAAUGCUGCAGUUGGAACUACAUUCAAAUUGGUCGUAGUUCCAACUGCAGCAGUUGGUGAGGGAUAGGAUCACCCACAAAUUAAUAAUAAUAAAUAAAUAAAUAAAUAAAUAGCUAAAUAAAUAAAUAAUAUAUGUAUUUAGGUAAAUACAAAUACUUAUAAAUAAACUCAUACUAAUAAAAUUUUUUAGACAAUCAAGCUUUGUGCAAAAAAUUAAUUUUUUUAAAUUUAUUUUAUUUAAAAUAUAAAUAUAGUUUUUUUUUCUAAAUUUUUAUAGAAUGUGAUCGUGUAUGUUAAUUUAAUAAGUUUUAAUUAAUUAUAAUUAUUAAAUUUGAUAAAAAAAAAGAGAGAAUCGUUUAAAUUUUUAAAGUUUGAUUUACAUAUUAAAAUUAAAUAAAUUAAAAAUUUUAAAUGUGUCGAUUAAUAAGUUGAAGAAUUAUUGAAAAAUAUAAAAAUAUUAUAUAUAUCUACUUAUUUAUUUAUAAAUAGUAAAUUUAAAUAAUUAAUAAAUUUAUAUAAUUAUUUUAUGUUUAGUGAAGAUAACCUCACCACUCUAUCUGAAGAGGUGACAAAAUUCAUAAAUACAACUAUCAACUUCAUAUUACCAAACAGAAGAAAUGUAACUGCAGCAGUUGCAACUGCGUAAAACCAAACAGACUAGGUGUAAUUAUAACUGCAGUAUUUACAACUGCAUGUAUUUUCAACUACACUGUUUCUGCAACUACAUCUAACCAAACGGCCCCUUAGUGCAUCACCAAUAACUUCACUCUCUCAUUUUCUUAUACUCAUAUUAUUUGGUUUGUUGUCAUGUGCGAGUCCUAUACACCGUGACAAUUUGUAUAGGAUGUGUCAUUGUUAGGAUUACCAAACAGUACCACAUUAGAUUUUGCAGGAGAGUUUGUAGGGCUAUUUAUAUGAAUAGCACAUUACAACCGGUUACUUUUGCUUUAACAAUUUUGAAAUGUGGUCAUGGCCCAAAGGUUACUAAUACUAGCAGGUUCGUCUGGGAAAUUAAAUUUGAUAUUGAAGCCAUUCUCAGGGGUACUAGUAUGUGGGAUUCGGAGUAUAUAGGUGUGUACUUCCUCUUUUAAUUAAUGAUUUUAUAUGCCUGAUGUUGUGCAAAAAGUGAAGUUCUAAAUUUGCACUCUUGCAGUUGUGAUUGGCUGUGGAUUUGUCGUACAUUUGUUAUAGUUCAUUGUUUUUCAACUUGUUGCUUAUGAUUAAUAGUUUUUGCUUCUGAAAUCAUUCUUGAAGUGAUUUCUUGAAGUGAAGUAUGUGUAACAUCUCUAUGGCUUUUAGGUUUGUACUGCUUAUUGUUGAGUAAAUUAUUCCAUUAUCUGAUUUAUUUUUUGGAAUAUGAACAACAAAUUUUUAUAAUAUUAACAGGAAUAACCAAUCUGCAUUAGGGGUCUCCUAUUAUUACGUUAUUGUCUUGAAGGCACAAUCUUCAUCUAAUCAAAUUUACACCUAAUUUAGGGUUUUGUCAGAAAAUGACUUAUCCAAAAGAAGAUAUUUGAUAAAUUUAUAUGAUUUAAUAACUCGCCUAAAUUGGCUAACCCACACUAAUGGUAGCCAAUUCAAAGAUCAAAGUUAUAAACUAAGAUAAUGACUUUUGAUACAAUAAGAUAUCAAAAUCCUAACUAAACUCAUAUCGGACAUAACAUGACUUUUAUUGACUAAAUUUGAACCAAAUUAGGCCCAACUAAACAAAAUUUCAAAGAAUUCAUAAUGAGCCAUAACUCUACGUGAUUCCAUCUUCCACCCUCUAAAUUUGUUAUGCAAAUUAUUGUGGCUGGUUACUUAAUGCAAAAUGUUACUAAUUUCAAUUAUGAAUACAAUGAACCUUUUUUGUGAUGAUGCUUAUUAAGCAUUAAUAAUAUGUUUGUCUAUUACUAAAUAUGAAGGAUUAUGCUGCUGAGUCAACAAAUAGAAAAUCCACAUUGGUGCUUAAUGAACAUCGACAUCCUGCAGUUGUUCGAUUAAUCGAUGUAAUGUCUUUUUUUCAUAAUUUCCAUAUAGACUGGGAACAUGCCUAGUAAUUCUGGUUGCUGAGGUCUAAGAAUUAGAAUGCACCAUUGGAUUCUUUUGAUGAAGUAUGAACUUCAGAGUAAGAUGGUUGCUGCUUUUGUAUAAUAUUUUUCAUUUAUAGUUCCUUCUGCCUUCAUUGUGUUUACAUCAUGAUAUAUCUUCUCAUAUUAUUCUCUAUGGUUCAGGAUGAUUUUUCAGAUUUGGAGUACCAUGGAGCUAAACUUAUUGACGCAGAUCUUCAAAAGUUUAACUUGAGUAAACCUUUCGAAAAGCCAGGUAUCUGACAACCAUACGAGAAGUCUUACAAGGACAGUUAUUAUUAGCAUUCUUAGAUCAUACCUUCAAGGUAACAAAAUGCUUCUCCGAACAGGACGCGAAAAGAAGCAGUCAAAAACCGUUGAUUUGGACAGCAUAGAAAAGGUAUAUUACUAUAUAUGACUAAGGAGCUUCUGGAUUAUUUGCUGGUGAAGGAAUUAUAUAAAAUAUUCAUCUUUCUUUCUUAUUGCAGCUGAAGAAUGAAACCAAAGUUAGUUUUCAGAAGCUGCAAAAAGAACUAGAUUUUGAUGAGAAAUGGUUUCCACUUAUCGACUACUUGAGCACUUUUGGAUUGAAAGAAUCUCAUUUUGUUUCCAUCUACGAGAGACAUAUGCCUUGCCUUCAGAUAAACUUGGCUUCAGCGAAGGAGAGAUUGGGAUUCUUGUUAGCUAUUGGUGUCAAAAACAAAGAUAUGAAAAGGAUACUUACGAGGCAGCCGCAAAUCUUAGAGUAUACUGUUAACAAUUUGAAAUCCCAUGUUUCCUUCUUGGCGAGUAUAGGAAUUCCAAACUCUCGAAUGGGCCAGAUAAUUGCUGCCACUCCAUCCCUGUUCUCUUACAGUGUAGAACAUUCCCUGAAGCCAACAAUUAGAUAUUUGAUUGAAGAAGUGGGUGUGAAGGAAAGUGAUGUUAGCAAAAUUGUGCAGUUAAGCCCCCAGAUUUUGGUUCAAAGGAUCGACAACUCAUGGACCUCUAGAUUCUCUUUCUUGUCGAAGGAACUAGGAGCAUCCAAAGAUAGCAUGGUCAAAAUGGUCACCAAACACCCACAACUCCUUCAUUACAGCAUUGAGGAUGGGAUUUUGCCUAGAAUCAACUUUCUCAGGAGUAUCGGCAUGCGCAACUCUGAUAUUUUGAAAGUAUUAACAAGUCUUACUCAGGUUGUAUUUAAAACUCCCUUUUCACAUCUUUAUAUGCUUGUAGCUUCUGGUAGAUUUAAUUUCUUAAAUGUAUGGUACGAUCCACGUCACUGAUCCCAUUUAAGGAGUCUAAUGGUUAUAUGAAGAAGACAGAAAAACGAGCACUUAUAUGUGCGAGUUGAUUAAAAGCGCAGCCAACAAUUUGUUUGUAUAGCUUGCAAACUUUAGGCUCACGUGGUUUUAUUUUUUUCCUUCAUUUAACGAACUUGAUGACAUUUCCAUCACAUACACAAACAGUCUUUAUACCCUGGGGAUAAACAAUAGAGGUAAGGAUCAACUUAAGUUAUGGACUUCAGUGACUUACUUACCAAUUUAUGUAAAUUAGUGGAGCCAGCUGCAAUAAAGCAAUAGCUGAAGGACCAUCUCGGUAUUUCACCCGUGUCCUUCAUCUGUUCAUCUUUCUCUCAUCUUCCUUCUUAGGUAUUGUCAUUAUCAUUGGAGGGAAAUCUGAAGCCUAAGUAUCUAUAUUUGGUUAAUGAACUCCGCAAUGAGGUGCAGUCCCUGACGAAAUACCCCAUGUACUUGAGCCUAUCUCUGGAGCAGAGAAUCCGACCUCGCCAUAAAUUCCUGGUUUCACUAAAGAAAGUUCCGAAAGGUCCAUUUCCUUUGAGUUCAUUGGUUCCUACUGAUGUUCGCUUUUGUCAGCAGUGGGCUGGAACUACCUUAGAGAACUAUCUGGCUUUCAGGCAGAAUUUACUACUCACAGACUUUGCAAAGAAGUAUGAUAGGAAAACUUUGACAUCAACUUUUAAGUAAUACAAUGGUUUAUAUAUCAAGGUUUAACAAGUUAUGUGAGCACCUCAUUCGCUUUGUACACGUUAUGUCUCGUGAGGCUGUUGAAGUUGCUUCCUUCUGGCUCAGACACAAUAUAUGUACUGUAAGUUAAGAUGCUCAUUUUAGUUUAGUUUCUUUUUCCUGGCAAACUCUUAUAUUGAGGUGCUUGAAGUACUAACAAUUUUCAGGAAAGCUUGGUUGCUUAUAUUUUUACAUACAGAGCAAUGGGGAUGUAAUGAUGUAUUACCGGGUGCCAACCUUUUUGUAAGGAUAAAGAUGCAACUGAAGUUGCUACAGAAGUUGCUACAUCAGUCCUAUGCGAUGAGGUUCAUUAUCAUCUCAUUACUCAGAUUGGUAAGUCGGUUUGCCGAACUUUUCAUUAGCAGUUUAUUGAUGCUGUGAUUUGGAACUUCCAGGAUCAUCUGCCUAUAUGAGAUACUUGCUGCUACAAUACUCAGCUCUCUUGUUCUUAGAACAAACUUCCAUUCUGGCGUGGUGCUUCUGGAUUCAUGAAUUGUUUGUCAAACUGCUACUUGCAACCAUACAAACUGCCUUUGUGAUGCAACUGUCGAAUACUGACUUGUGCUACCUCAACAAUUUUGUGCCACAUUAAUGCAUCAAACUAUGUCUUUUCACUCUGUGAUUGCUUAUACUUUUGUAAUAUUUGUAUGAUCAUCAUUUUUAUAUUCUACAAUUUUUUUUUUUUGGAGAUUAUGCAUGCUCAUCUUUCUCUGAAAAGUCUUCUAUGCAUAGCAAUAGGCAUGCAGGGAGGAUGGAAACAACUAAAAUUAUCAUCACUUUAAUCAACAGUGUUAUUUUGCCAUCUUUUCCAUGUUAAAUUGUCGUCUGUAUAUAUCUAGUAGUGGUAGUAGUUUUACAUAGAAAACUGGGUUCAUUCUCCUACCUUAGUGCUUGAUAAGGAGGAUAAUAAGUUGUUAUGUUGUACCUUUCUGCGAAACAAGGCUAUUGUUCGAGCCAACACCUUGAGUUAUUCUAUUUCUCAAUAUAUUUCCAGUUAUCUUUUCUAAUUGCAGCUACCUAUCAACAUUACAUUUGUUUUAUGUUACUGUAGUACAGAGCAUGAAGUUUAUUUGGUACAGCAAUAAAAACUAAGAUGAUAUCUGGUGCUAGUGUUUAGAAGCAUUGGAAGGCGUGGCGGUCUUUUACCAGAACUUUUGGAUGAUUAAACCAAAGAUGGGAUCAGUGAACUCCAUAAGAUCCAAAACUCAAAUGUGAUCUGGAACCAAGGCUGUAAUCUACUGCACCUGAUCAUUCUGAGCUGUGGUCCACCCCUUAACAAACUGUUGUUCAUCACAACCUGAUCCACUUCAAGGCCAUAGGAAUUAGUCUAGGACCCAUGAAAUUCAAAAUAAUGGCUAUCUAAGAUUUCAUUUCGGAUUGAAUUAUCGUACAAUUCUUGGUCCCAUAGAUAGUGGCUAGAAUACCAACCAAGCUAUGAAAGAUCUAAAGUAUCUUGGAGAGCCAUUGUCAGCCACUUGCUGAAUAGAAAUGUGUGAAAGGGGGUAUGAACAUCCCUUGGCUAUUAUUGUGUGGGGGCCUCCAACACAAUGAGAAGAAGAUAAGGUUGGAUCAGGUGAGUCCCAUGACCGUUGCGUAAAGUUGCGGCUCUUUUAGGGUAUUUUGGAUUGACGUGAUUGGAAUUCCAUUUUAAAUUAAAUUUAGUAAGAGUACAAACAUUAGUACUCUAGUUGACCACAAGAAGAAUUAUCACCUAGUUCAAUCUCUUGAAAAUUAUCUUUCGCUGAAAGGCCAAAAGUUGUUCAUCGUGGAAAGAUCCAAAUUGUGGCAUAGAGUUUGAUAGCAGGUUUUUACUGAACUUGAUUUAUACCCGAAGUGCAAUUACGGCAAUCCAAAUGCCCCGAGGGCAAAUAAUAUCGUUAUUCGGGAGAGGGGGCAUUAAUGGCAUUGACUUUGAAAUCAAAUCCCGCUAUAUGUAAAAAAGGAUGUGCGUAUGUAAUUUACAGACAUUUAUUAAGAGACGAAAAAAAGAAAAGAAAGACAUGAGGGGCUUAACAUUUUUUUCCGCAUGGCUAUUAAGCAUUGGCUAUCAAUAGAAAUCAGAUAUUCAUAGUUUUUACCCUGAAAUACUAUUUGAAUCGAAUUGUUAGAAGAUGCAUAUAAUAGCUUUUUCUUAAAGACGGCUCUACGGUUUUUCGAUGCAUGCAACUUCAAGUUCGAGUUUCUGCUUCUGAAUCUAAAAAAAACUUAUUUUAGGGUCAUACCAAUGUGAAACUCUUACCUUGUUUGUUAGCUAAACACUUGACUAGGAGAGAGUAGGAGUACUUGAAGGAUUAAACUGUUGAUGGAUAGUCUAUGAAACUAAAACCAACUAGAUAUUUGCACAUUUCAGGUUUCCACAACACUACAUUGCAAGUACUCUUUCAGAAAAUAAGAUGAUGUUCACAUGGAGGCUAGGCCUGCCUUGCUAAUAGUAAUAGCUUGGCUUGACACCCAUUCAUAUUUUCAGUCAAUAUAGGACUAAUAAUUCUUGUUGGAUUCAAAUAAAUAUUAUAAGAACACUCUGCUCUAUUUUACACCACCAUAAGGCUCCAUAAGAAGGCCUAUAUGGUCAAUAUAACGAUUGAAUCUAAAUCACCGGUCCAAAAUAUUUAAGUCGAUAGUAAUAGAGCUCUUAGUCCCUAUAUAUAAAACCCAUCUAUCUGAUGUUUGGGAUGUCGCAUUUGAAAAUGUCAUUUGAAAGUUGAUUGGCAUUAAUCCAUCCUAAUAUCUAGGUAAUUAUAAACGUUAUGAACAAGCAGUCAGAUAGAACGGUCGUAUUCAUAUUUAAAAUGGUAUCUGCAGAAUUUUUAAAAUUUUGCAAAACACAUAUGAAAGUGACUAAAAAGGACAACACCAAUUAUUAUGCAAAAGUUAUCUACUAACAGACACAAACCCCCCAAAACUGCACUGUAACUCCUACAAGACCACUUGUUUUGUAGAGAAAAAUAGAUUGGACAGAUCAGAUGCAGAUAAUUGCUUAGUUUAAGAUAAGUGAAAGGGACUGAAUCAAAGCUUAACAACACAUAAAAAAACAAUGCUAGCUCCAAUUCUUUAUCAUUUGCAUCGGACGGCAGUCGCGGCUGAUCUGGUUAAACUCGAUCGACGAAAGAUUGCGAUCGGCCGCGCCUAUCGUUACGCGUCAUUGCGGGCCAGGUGACGGUGAUUCGGGGCGCCCUUUCGCGUUUACUAAGAGCCACCACUAAAACAAAGGAGAUGUAAACAAUGGGCCUAAAGAACAUGCAGGUAGGAUCGCAAAUCCCCACCGCCCGGUGCGGAUUGUGCGGGAUCAUGACCGUUCGAUCGCGAUCAGCUCAAGCCCACUUGCAUUGUGAAAGAGAGGACCACAAUGCAGGUUGAUUCUUGUUGUCCCCCACCCCCCCUCUCAAAGUAUUUUGAAAGGGAGAAAGAAGCUGAGGUAUUUGAGAACUCAAAACUUAGGGAGAGGUGAAUCUUAUGACCAUGAGAGAGAGAGAGAGAGAUAUUAUUGUAUGACAAGUUGAUGUGGUCCUUGUAUAUGAUCCUUUACAGGCAACUUCUUAUCAUCCACUUACCUAAUGUAAUAAAUGAGACAGCUCACUUUAAAAAGCCCUUUUUUUUUGGAAGGUGGAAGUGCUUUACUUUACAGGGAAUUCUUUUGCCUUUUCUUUCACCUGGAGGAUAAUUUUGCCAAAAAAGAAAAGAAAAAGCUAGUGGGUCUCAGAAUCUGCUCAUAUUUAUUUCAUUAUUUAUAUCCACAUCCACAAAUACUGGUAUUAUAUGAAAAAGACCUAAAUUGCUCAAUUAAGAGGUGGUUAUCAUCUAAUGCAUGAUUACUUUGUGGCCAUUCUUUGACCAGUAUUAAUUUCCAAUUUGGUAGACUCUGCAUUAUGAAAAAAAAAAAAAAAAAACCACACUAAAUAAUGCAGAUGCAUAUAAGAAAGAAAAAAAUAACUUUGUAAUAAAUGAUUAGCACAACAAAAGGGGUAGCACUUCCCUCCAUAAAUUAACAACAUUUUGGGAUUCUAAUGUCCAAACAACUCAGACAAGCAUUUCUAGCAAUUCUAAAUUGCUGGUAUCAAACUUCAGUCCAACAAAUACAUUGAACAACCCAAUCACACAACAAGAAAGCCAUUAAAAAAAAAAAGAAGAAAUUGUACUCCAAUGACAGAGGUCUAAUAUGGAAAAAGAUUAGGUGUAGAUACAAAUGAGCUGUGGUAACCAUAAACUGAAACACAAUCAGAUAUAUGAUGGCCCACAGAUGACAACAUUAGCACUUACAUAAUUCACUAUUAUCCGAAUCGAAACAAUCUCACCAACCAUUUCGGUAUAAUGAGCGUAAAGUUAUUUGUAAAAUAUGUACAGGUAAUGUUUCAGGGAAUUAAAAACUAAGAGGAGAAAAGGAAACGGACUAAUGACUUUCGUUUAACACCUAAUCUAAACGAAGUUCGGGUUAUUUUAAUUCUUCGAAUAGAGUUACCACUGUACUUGUAUUUAUCUCUUUGUACCCACAAGAAAAGUUUGUCUCUGUGAUUCAAAGUAGUGAAACCUACCGCUAUGUUUUGUGUAGUUUGUUCGUCGUUUUCGCGACCUUUACAAUGUCUAAAAGGGAAGGUGAUCCCACCUGUACUUGAGGUCGUAUAAAUAAAAGCUUGUAAAGAAAAUUACCAGUUGCCGAAGUAGAACGAAACUUUUCCGCACCGAUAUCUCUAGUCGCUUACUAUUAAUAUACCUCUAUAUGUACUUCUUGUGAUGUUUAACUUGCUCUUUUCCUCCACUUCCUAAAGAGGCGACGCAAACGGAGACUCUGGAAGAUCGAUUUCAGCACUGCGAAAAGAAUAAAGUGAAAUUGAUCAGGAAAGAGCAUUCUGGGACGUUGCAGUGUUUGAUACAUACAAUGACAUAUGCACACAUUAGUCGUGAUUAUAUGUUUUUCAUAUAUUUCAUUGCCAAAAAUGUAAAGUAAUAAGCAGCAGAAACCAAACAAGGAUUCGAUUUGAGAGCAAAAUCUUCUAAAUUAAAUCUGACUUACCUAUUUUUAUCGCUGCGGUUGUUGCUCAUCUGCCUUGUAGUGUCAUCAUUUUUGCCGCCACCGUCCGGAUUCUUUGGAACAAUCGAGAGAUUGCUGAAACGAUCUGCCAGUAAACAUUAACGCACAGAAUAAUAUAUCCGUAUUAAGAUAAGCUUUACAGUGUUAAAACAACGAAAAGAAUAAAAUAGCGCAUUGGGAUCGGUUAUCACCUUCAAUGUAAUUCAGAUCGUCCAUUCCACCGCCAAAGAAGAGUUCUUGUGUCGGUUUGUUCGGAGUCAGUUGCAGAUCAAAAGGGUGUUUCGAUUCAAUUUCAUACUCACGCUCUUCUAUCGACUGCUUUUUGAAAAUCUCAGAAUAGUGACACAGCCUUGAUGCUGAGAAGGGGAGAAAAUUAGAGGAAAUCUUAUUAGGUUACAUAUAAAAGGUCCAACCAGCAAACGUAACAAGAAGUAAAGAACAAUUGAAACUAGAUGUCCGACUCACUCGUAUUCGGGUUCUGAUCCAUUUCGUAGAAUCUGGAAAGGCUGUUGCUUGAAAACAUGGUCUUUUCGGCAUUCUUCCUGCAUUGUGCAUCAGGCAUUAGUAGGGAUACGAAAAGAGUACAGGGCCAAAAUCAAAAUAAAAUAGGAUACACUCCGAUGCAGUGACUUUCUUAGCUUCUACCUCACAAAACAGACUUAUAUCCAACUGAAUAAGAUUUAUACAUGCACCAAUUAAAAAAAAAAAACCGAAUUCAUCAUCUGCCCUAGUGUAAAAAACAUUUAUGUCCUUAGUAAUUUAAAUUAACCAGUAGCGCAAACAUAAUAUUUUUAAUUUCAACAACCAUAUACAAGGUGUUACACAUUACGGAAAACAUAGAGCUGAAGAGGACGACAACUUGCCACCUUAUAAAAACAUAGAAUCUAGUUUUAACUCACAUACACAGCUUGAGUGCCGUCAUGCAAGGCGGUAAAGCAACUGUAUCCGCAUUCCAUUGCAGUGCCAGAAUGAGUUGAAAGAGAUUGAAUUGUUGCAAGUGGAGUUGAUACUGGUUCGGCUACGGUGCAGGAACAACUCUCUACAAGACUCAUAUUUAUUACGAGGCUUCAUUUGGCAUUGCGGGAAAGAGUGCAUUACUUACAAUGAGAAAGCACAAUGGUAAAAUAUUCUAUUUUUCUGUAAAAAAAAAAAAAAAAAACACGCUGUAUAGAUCGUAACAAUUUGGUUACGAUAUAAUCUCUACAGCCCAAGUGGAAAAUGCAAAAGCGUAUCUCUACACGCUUUUUUUCCCAACUCCUCAAGUGAUACUAUUAGAAGUCAAACUAUCCGAGCGUUCCCAAAUUGUUCACACAAAAGCCUAAACUUUUAGUAUCAUGGGUCAACAUAACUCAUUCUUCUCUAGGUAGCGCGCCAAUGCCAUGCUGAAGUAUGACAUAAAAAAGUAUGAGCAACAACAAACCGGCAAAAAUAAAGUAUCCGACGACAAAGUAACAAAUAAGAGUAAUGACAUAAUGAUAAAUUUUUGUCGGAGCAAUUGUCUGUACCGAAUGCGACAACAAGGAAAAAAGCGAAAGAAUUAAUUCAAUGAAAAAGGAGACUAAUCCUAAUCCAAAUCCAAUCACCCACUAACUCUUUAUGGCACAAAGACGACGAGUCGAAAAACGACCCAUAAAGCGAUUGUCUUUACAAUUCUGACCUGUCGAUCAGCUUCGACUUUUCCUUGUAGGGCUUGACCAAUACUCGCGAGCCACAUAUGUAGUGAGGAUUCCCUUUUGCUAAGAUGCAUCUGACCGUCUCGGGGUACACGAAACUCACAAAACCGAACAUGCGCUUCUCCUGAUGAGGAAUUCUAACGUCAUGAACCAGUCCGUACUGCCUAAUACGAACAAAAAAAAUAUUGCAGUUAUAUCUUGAGAACGCCUUUGCUUUGCUUGGAAACUAAUCGACAAAAAUAAAAAAUUACUUGAAGUAGUUUUCGACAUCGUCGUCGGUGAAUGUGCUCUCGGCAGGGAAUGUGAGAUAAAUUUGAUUAGAGCUGGCAUUUACUCCGCCCUGGUGAUAUCUGUCGCUCUUAUUCUCGAUGUAUUUGUGCGCAUCUUCUGCGAGGAUUACCAAAUGCUGCCCAUUUUGACUGCAGCAGAGACAAACACAUACGUCCCAAUUUAAGGGUGAUAAUAAUGCAAAGAAAUUACGAAAAGUUAUCACCCAACUAAGGGGGCAUUUGGUUUUGGAUCGAUGUAAAACGAAUCGAAAAAUUAUUUUCGGUAUGAAAAAUGCUUUUUCCUCUUCGUUUGGUUCGACGUAAAAGAUUUUUGGGGAAAAGUUAACUCAUUUUUCAUUGUUUUUCAGCGGAAAACAAAAACUCAAGCUGAGUAAACCUUUUUUGAUUCAUUUUUUUUUUCCACCGAACCAAACAAAUAUAGAAGAAGAUUUUUUUCCCGAUGGAAAAACUCGCCUACAAACCAGAUUUUACAAAAAGUUGAAUUUUUUUUCCACCAAAAAUUACUAUUAACGGUUCUACGUUGAACCAAACAGACCCUAAACUUUCAUUACUUUGAUUUAAGAGAAUUUCCUCAAAAGUUCCAUUAUUAGAAUUUAACACUACACUUAGAUGAUGUUGUUGUUGUUGUAGUAACAUAAUAAUAAUCUACAAGAAACAAUGAACAGAGAGAGAAAGAGGGGGGGAUUCACCCAUGAAUGAGCCGAAUGCCGUUGUUCAGGCGGGCGAGCAACUUGGUCAGGCUAAAGCCGGACUUCCCGUGCCGCUGGCUCUCGGUAAGGUAUCCCUCGGCCUGCAGCACCUUCCCGUACCUCGCGAGGUACAGCGUCGGCAACGAGGCAAUCGAGAGCGGCUGUCCGACCCUCUCCUUGAGCAGCUCCCGAAUCUCCGCCUCCAGCCUAUCAAACACUUCCUCGUUGCCGCCGCCGCCGCCGCCGAACUCGUUCGAGCUCGGAUGACCGCCGUGCAAGUACCAGCACUUGUCGCCGUGCUUGCAGAACCCCUUGUGGUAGUACUGGCAGGCUUUGGCAGCCUGCAAUUCAGCCCGGAAUUCAGGACAGACGGAGGAAGGGUAGAAAGAAUUCAGCGAUGAUUCGUGCUGGUCCUGAAAGGCAGGAGGAGGAGGAGGACUGUGAUCCCAGUAACGGAAGGUCGACGACGGCGAAGAGAAGCUCCGGGAGAGAGCUGCUGCAGGGGGGAGCGUGAAAUCGGGAGCGGGCUGCUGCUGCAGCUGCUGAAGAAUCGGGAAAGCGAUGGUCGGGAGGAAAGAUUUGGCUUCGUUGAUCAGGGAGAGGAUGUGGGCGUCGGUCCCGAACGCAUAGUCCACGAGUUCUUGAGUGGUGGUGCAGCGCAGGUAGAGGUAGCCGAUGACCUUGAACGCAUUUUCUGGGUCGUAUUUCCGAAUCUUGUUAAAAACAAUGCUAGUAAAAUCGCUCACUUCCAUUUCUGGUUCCUGCCACCACCACAAAACAAAACAAAGAUUGAGAAAAAAAUAAAAUAAAAAUUACAUAAGAUUUUGAAAGAUCACACUAUAUGUAAAAGAUAAAGAUAAAGAAACUGCUUUUCUCAAAAACCAGAAAUUAAAGAAACUAAAGGAAAAAAAAAAAAAAAAAGGUUUUUUUACACACUAAAAGAUAUAGUUUUACCACUACAUGAACAGACUUGUAGCAGAUAAACAGGCACCAAGAAAGAGAGUGGGAGCCAUUCUUUUUCUUAAGAAAAGGGUUUUUUUACACACAAAAAAGAGAGAGAGAGAGAGAGAGAGAGAAAUAGGGAACAAAUUUUACAACUAAAUCAACAUACUCUUCUUCUUCUUCUUCUCCUUCUCCUUCUCCUGUAGAGUGUUUAGGGAGUCUUUUAUUAGUCUCUCAUCAUCAUCCUUCCAAAGCAGAAGAAGAGGAGAUAACACACACCAAGAAGAGAGAGCAAAAAACUGUGUUCAAAUCGAGGCCACUAUUAUAUAUAUAUAUAAAUGUAAAGUCACUGCAUAUUUAUUUUGGAAUGUUCAAAAAAAAUUAAUGAUCAUUUUUUUACUUUAAUUUUAUAACACAAAUGGAAAGAUGAGAAAUGAAUGAUAUUAUUAUUAUUUAUUAUUAUUAUUAUGUUACAGGCUGUAUUGCUAUUUUCCAGCAUUGGUUUAAUUCGAGCGAAAUGACGAAUUUGCCCCUGAACUUAUCCCUUCUAUAGGUGACUUAGAAAUGGACCAAUUUGUCAUUUUGGCACUCUUAAUGGGUGAUUAGUGUGAUAAUUAUUUUUGGAAGCAUUAUAAUAAAGCUCUUUUUUAGUAGUAAAAUGCUCAACAGAAGGGCUAAUGUGGCAUAGUGCAUGUUGCCCACCUGUCAUUUAAAUGUAAACCGUUUCUUUGAGAGGGGAUUAUGGGAUUUUUAUUUUUAUUUUUAUUUUUUUAUUUAUUUAUUCAUUUUUUUUAGAGAAUUAUAAAUAUUAUAAAUUAUAAAUAUAAAUUACUAUUAUAAGUAGGCAAAACGGCUCGCGGUAAAAGCGCAUUUUUAGUUUUUAUCUCCGGGUAGUUUGGAGCCUCACGGUUCGGAUUCUUAGACCCAAAAAAAAGGGUUUUUUUAGAUGAGAAAAAAAAAAGAAGCUGUAAUUUGAAUUGGUGUGUGGAUAGAUUUGAUGUUUGAAAAUUGAAUUCAAAAUUGCUAAUAAGUUCAUAAAUUUAAAUAUAAAUUUAUUAAUUUCAAAUUUUAAAUUAACUUAACGGUUGAAAAUAAAAAUAUUUGUUUUUUUUUUAAAAACAAUAUUCUCGCACACGUAAUAUCUGCUAUCUCUUAUCUACACAUUUUUUCAAAUAUCAUUAAUAUCUCUCGCACUAUCAUACGCGAAAUAUCCAUCACUACAUAAUAUUCAAUCAAAAGUAAUAUCUGUCUUAAUUCAAUUUUAUUUACUAAUAUUUAAUUCAUUUAUUAACCUUUUAUUGAUGGUAACCAAUAAUCAAAUUUAAAUUUAAUUUAAAUAUCUAUUUAAAUUUUAAUUUUAUUUGAAUUAAAAUAUUAAUUAAAAUUUUGAUACUUUUAGUUUAAAAUAUAUAUUUAAAAUUUGAAUUCGUUAGAAACCGAAAAAUAUAGUAUAAUAUUCAAUUUAUAUAAAAAAAAAAACUAUAUAAUUUAUGUCGGCAACAAUUAUUUGAAUUUGAAUUAGAAUUAGAAUAUGACAAAUAAUUUUGAAUAAAAUAUAACAGAUGAAUUUACUUUUUCAAAAAUUAAAUUUUAUUAUAAGUUUUUUGAUGAAUAUGAUGAAUAAAUUUCUGUUGAUUUGAAAUAAGUACUAAAAUAUUAUUAGGAGACCUAUUUUUAUAUUGCAUUUAAUUGAUGAAAACUGAAAAAAAAAUUUAUAUUUAUCUAAAUUUUUUCUGCAGAAUAUACUUCACAUACACAAACACAGAAAAUAUUCGAAUAUCCAAUAAUUUUGAAUUAAGCAACUAAAAAUAAAUUAGAUUCAAAAAAUAGAAUGAUUUAAAUAAAGUAUAUUAACUUGACUUUAAAUUUUAAAUUUGUUUCAUAAUAUCAAGUGUGAAUAUAUAUUUUAAUUCAAAAUUUAAAAUUAAUUAAAAAUUUUAAAUAUUGGGUCUAUCAGCAGAUUGCUUCAAACCGAAAUAAAGUAACUACUUAUUUUCAAAUUGCAUAUUCACAAUAAAUUUCAAAUUUUGAGUUUUUGUUCAUAAAUUGAAAUCCGACUUUAUUAAUUCAAAAUUUGAAUUAAUUCAACAGUUGAAAAUAAAAAUAUCUGUCACUUUCUAUGACAAUUUUAAAUAGUCGAAAGAUUAAUUUGUCUGUAAUUAAUCUUAUCAUGAUGUGUAAUUAUGACUUAGACAUGUCCGAUUUGUGUUGAUUUUAAAUUUUAUUUUCAAAAUUUUGAAUUAGUGAUUAAAGUCUAUAUGAUUUGACUCACUUGCUCUUUACAAUUUUAUGAUUUAAUUACUAAGAUGACCUGCAUCGGAUGGGUGGAACCAAGUCGGAUUCUAAUUAGGCUAAGCCCAAGCCCGGCCCAAACCAAGUUUUUGGGCUUUAGACCAAAAAAUAUUUGAAAAAGAUAAAGCAUGGGCCGGACCCAUAGCCCGCUAACCAUCGAGCCUUGUUUAGGCCCAUUUUUAAAAUAAUUUAUAAAUAUAUAUAUAAUUAGGAAAGUCCAUUUGGACUCUAUUUUUUGGUCACAUGUAUGUACUCGUUUAUGUGUUAUAGACUUUAGGUAUCGUUUGGUUCGGGGAUAAGCAAAAAGUAACUAUUUUAGGAAAAGAUAUAAAUUGAGUUAUAAGUGGGGAUUAGAUCAAUUUUACGUUUGGAUGAAAAUUAGGUUAUUUCUAAGAAUAAAAAAAAUAGUGUUUGAUUAGAUAAGAUGGAAUAAGAAAUAUAAUAGGUUUUAUAAAUAAAAAAUAAUGAUAUUACUCUCUUAUUAUAUUUGAAUUUAAAAUUUAAAAUUUUAAAAUUUUAUUUUUAAAUUUAAAAUUUUAACUUUGAAAUUUCAAAAUUUGAAAUNUUUUUUUAGUUAAUAUAUUAAUUAUAUAAAUUAAAAUACUAAUUAUUUAAAUAAUAUAAAUAUUAGUAAAUAAUUGAAUAUAUGGCUAACUAUUUAAUUAGAUAAAUAAUAAUAAAAUGUAAAUAAAUUAUUAUUUAAAUAUUUAUUAAUUUAAUAACUUAAUUAAUUAAUUAGUCAAUUAUUUAAAAUUUUAAUUGUAAUAAUUAAUUAUAAUUUAUAAUUAUUUUUAACUUAAUUAGUAGAGGAAUAAAUUAGAGAAUAGCUUGUUCCACCCAAUAGAUGGAACUACUAUUCUUCCCUCUUAACGGGUUAUUCCAGAAUAACCUGUUAACGUGGGGAUAAAUUAACAUGCCAAUUUUGCUUGGUGUUUGGCAAGAAUAGUGAGAUAAAAAGAGAUAUUCCUUUUUUAUGUCAAAACCAAAGGGGGCCUUUAGGGUCACAAAAUCAUGAGGAGUUAUCAAUCAUACUAGUUUAAUGUAUUUAGGCUUAGUUUAAAAUUGAGGUCUAUAUAAUGCUAUUACAUAAAAUGGAGUUGAGAAAAAAAUAUAUAGGGAUAUGCUUCUGCAUUCUCCGAUGGGACUGCAGAAAAUAUAUUAUAACCGACUCAUCGCAAUAUGCGGAACGCAAUAUUAUGUACGGAAACAAAUAGUAUAUUUUUCCAACGUACUUUCUCACCGCACGUAACGCAAUCACCCCGCAAUCCCGAAUGAAGCCUUUGUAUGUUUUAUUUCUGUGUACAUGCAUUCGAUGAUAAAAUUGAUUGUACAGAUAGAUAGCAGCUCUCCGCUUCGUGCAAGCAUAAAAAGCUCUACCCGUGCGUCGGGCCUGUUGCGGCCCCGACGGAGAAAGGGAGGCUCUCGCCGCCGGGCUGGGGCAUUACAUCUUGCAAGAAAAUUUUCUCCCUCCUUUGUUGGCAUCAUCCUGGAUCUUAUUAUUCACCUUUCUAGUGAGACUAAACUUAUUAGUCCAGCGCAAUACUAUAAAAUGUAUCCAAUUGAGAGGUUAGUUAUUAUAAUAUUAAGAUUCACCUAGUAAUUUAAUAAAGGAUUAAUUGUAUACAGGUCUCUGCAAACAUAGUGAAUUACAAAUAUAUCCCUACAAAGUUUAACUUCCAUGGGUUGUUCCAGUAAAAGUCAUAAUAUUUUCAAAUAUGUUUUUGCCGUUAGAAUCCGUUAAAAAAUUUUAAUUAACCACAGAUUAAAUAUUUAACGCUGAUUAGUUUAUAAAAUAACUUGAUAUUCUUAUCUCUCAUAUAUUAUACUAUUGUGACUCUUGGAAGGAUAUAUUUGUGAUGAUAAAAAUGAUAUUUCAUUUAUUUACUGUUAAAAUAUAAUUAGUUUUAUAAUGGUAACAAACCAGAAGGAUAUAUUUAAAAAUAUUAGAACUUUUAAGGAAUAAUAUAAAAAAGUUGAACUUUGUAGGAAUAUAUUUGCAAAUUACUAUAUUUACAGGAACCCGUAUGCAUUUAACAAUUCACUAUAUUCACAAGGACCUAUAUGCAUUUAACCUUUUAAUAAACUACUAAUUUGUUGUAAUUUAUUUAUUAUUUUGAUCCUUAGUUUCAUUUAUUUAAGUUUCUUUUAAGAUACAAAAUAGAUUUGCUUGUUGAAGGUUAUUUAAUUGAGGAGAGCGCGAUAUUUUGCUCUUACUACUUACAUAGUGUUGAAACCUAGUUCAACCGUCUAGUGAGAAAUGAUGAUCAUAAUUUUACUAACUUAUCUAAAAAUUUAUUAUUUUCUUAUAUUGGUUGUGCACUAGAUGAUUGUGAAAUUAUAACUUUGGAUUACACAGCAUAUAUACAAGCUCAUCGAUACGUGCUAUUAUUAACUUUUGAUCUGUGUGUAAAUUGUUAAACUUAUAAAUUAAUUAAUGGUCUAUAUGCCAUGAUUUUACUUUUCGGUAAGGGCAUAUUUGGUUUAUGAUUGAAAUAGAAAUGGAAAAUAGAAUUGGAUUACUUUGGAAUAGGAAAUGGAAUAACGAAACAUCCAAAAAUAUUUAGUUCAUUGUUGAAAUGGAAAUCGAAAUGAAAAUUUAGAAUUUUUUAGAGAGGAUUUUGAUUAAGAGAGAAGAAAGUGAUGAAAAGAGAUGAGAUAGUUGUUAGUAAAAAGAGAAUUUUGAAUAGUUUAUAUUGGAAUGGGCCAAUCCGGAAUUAAAAAGCGGAUUAAGUCAUAAAUGGAUUUGGCCAUUCUCAUUCCGGAGCGAAAUGGGAACCGGAAUCUGAUUCCUAUAAAACAAACAACAACUAUCGGAAUCAAUAAAUUUCAUUUCGAUUUCAUAGUCUAAAAUAGGUGAACCAAACAUGCCCUAAGUGUAUUUAGCUAGGAUUAGUUAUUUGCAGAGAGCAUCUUCAAGAUAUCAAGGCAUAUGAAAUUAUACUGAUAAAAUUAAGAUAUGAAAUGGUUUGUCAUUCUUUAAAUAGGUUCACAAUAAAAUUUUAAAAAGGGAGAGAACAGAGAGUUAUCUGCGAAAAUUCAAUGGUUGACAAUAGGCCCUUUUAACCAACCGACCGUCCCUAGAGCAAGUGGUAAAGAGCUUGGUGGUUGGUACCCGAGACCCAAGUUCGAAUCCUAGUUGAUUCACAUUUCUAUCUAAGUUUAUUUUUAAAUGAAAUAAACGAAGCGGAUAGCGUGCUACCUAUCUCUCAAAAAAAAAAAAAAAAAAAAAAAAAAAAAAAAAAAAAAAGAAAAGAAAAAGACAACAGGCCCUUUAAUGACGGUAAAGAGAUAUAUAUAAACAUUAUAUUAGAUUCCAUACAAAAGAUGUUGAGGAGAAAUGAAAAAUCCAAAAUAGUGACACUGCAAGUAUCUCAAUUUUUGUUUGCACACAAAUAUGCGCAUGCAUGCGCACACAAACACAUGCAGGUUUAGAAUUUGGGUCGAGUUUGAUUCCUAAAAAUGCCUCAAAUUAUUUUGGGCCUAAAUUUUAAAAGUCCGGUCCGAACCAAAAGUCGAACCAUGAGACUCAAAAGCCCGGCCCAAAAUCAUACAAAUUCUUGGAAUAGACAUGUUGUUCUAAGUAGGAAGUGCACUUUUACCUUUUUUUUCACUACAAAGUUUAGUUAUCAAAUAUAUGGAGGAAAAAAAAAAAAAAAAAAAAAAAAAAAAAAAAAAAACUUGAAUGAGUAGCACCUUUUACCUCCAUAUUUAGAUCUUUCUAAAGGUCUGUUUGGCCUAGCUUCUGAAAAAGUGAAUCAUACUGCUAACCAAACUGUCUCAACCAGAUCCCGUUGAAGGGCUCUUCAAUGGAAUUACGCUUCAAAUACACUUGAAGUUGCUUAGUUUGCAAAUACAUUCCUCUGUAUAAGUUAACUAGUUAUAAUUGACUUCUUUUCUACCAAAUGAUUAUUUUCUUAAAAUAGAUAUCUUUCUCAUUGUAUAUAACAUCAUUUGUUAUUUCUAAUAUUUUAAUUUUAAAUUUCAUACCAUUCUAUAUACAUGAUAAAUUAUAAGUUUUAAAAUAUUUUAAGAAAAUUAUUUUUUAUGAUGGUCUAACGGUUACCACGAUAAAAUUUAACCGUCAACUACCCGUAGUGAACUUAUAGGAAUAAAUUUAUAUAUUAUUGAUGCUUUAAUAAAAGAAUAAUUUAAUAAUUACAACUUUGUAUGGAUAAAUAUGCAAUCUUGAAACUUCAUCAAAAUACAAAUAAAAUUAUGAAAGAGAAAAAAGUAAAGUUGAGCAACUAUUUCAAAAGGGCUUAGGGGGGUGUUUGGUUUGAUGUAAAAGCUAUAUGAAAAUUAGUUUCAGCUUAGAAAAUGCUUUUUUCGUUGCUUGUUUAUCUAGCUGUGAAAAUAUUUCUUAUAAAAUAUUUUUAUAAAUUGUAUUAAAUAUUAAAAAUAAAAAAAUUAUUCUUUACAAAUCCAGACGUGAGGGAACCCAAUCGAGAACAAGAGGUCUUAAGUUCGAGUCAUACCAGACUCCUAACUUAGUUUAUUUUCUCCCGUUUAAUUCAAGUCCAUAUCAUGAGUAGAGCUGGCAAUCUAGCUAGCUAUUCGUGAGCCAACUCGUGUUCGACUUAAAUUAAGCUCAAAAUUGAUCGCUCGUUUAAAUAAAUAAGUCGAACACAAGCUGAAUUUUUUAGUUCGAAAUCUUAACAAGCCUUAGCUCGCACGUAUUUGGCUAGAUAUAGCUUUUAUAUAUAUAUAUAUAUAUAUAUAUAUAUAUAUAUAUAUAUAUAUAUAUAUAUAUAUAUAUAUAUAUAUAUAUAUAAAACAAAGUUUACAAUUUGGAUUUUUAGGCCAAUCUAAAGAAAUCUAUAUGUUUUAUAAGUUUUAAUUAUUAUUUGAGGUUUUAAUUAUUUUAAUGCUUUUUAAUUUUUUAGCUAGUAUAGCGGAGCUCACAACUUUAACUUGCUAUUUGUACUUCCUGAAGAACAACUCAUGCUUAAUGUAGACAGCCCUGAAUACGAGCUAGAUGGUUUCAGCUCGAUGUUUUUAAAAAUCAGCCUGCGUGUUGAAUUCAUUUAAUUAAAUGAACAUACACGAACUGGCUAGUCCAUUGUUGUUCGGCUCAGUUAACUACCCCUAGUUAUGGAUCCUAUCAAAUUAAUUUCGAAUCCAAAUGUGAGGGAGCCCAAAUAAAAAAACAAAUUAUUAAAUAUAAAAAUAUGAAAACUACCAAAAAAAAUUUUGUCCAGAUGUUGAGGGACAUAAAAAAGCUUCGCAGCCUAGAAGAAUGAAAAUUCUUAAUCUUAAAUAUAAAAGAUAUACAGAGACAAAUUUUUCUGCCCAUUUAAAUUUUUGGAGAAAAUAAUUUAUUUACAUAAUUUAUUACAUUUUGGGUGAAAAUUAUUUUAUUCAUUCAUUUGAUUCUUAAAAAAAGAAUAAAUUUUUUUUUUCCUCAAAAAAUAGUAUUCCCAUAUUUUACAUUUUAUUAAAAUUAAAAAAAAUUAUAAAUGGAGGUAUCUUUAUAAUAAUAAUAAAUAUAUUUCUUGAAUUUUUUUUUUCAUUUUUUAAUACUAAAUAGUAUUGUUCGAAGGUGUUUAGUAUAUAAUUUUACUUAUUGGAUG
Molecule: long non-coding RNA, 37773 nt
Filed under: Ananas comosus (pineapple)
Lineage: Eukaryota; Viridiplantae; Streptophyta; Magnoliopsida; Poales; Bromeliaceae
Description: long non-coding RNA (ACOM_LNC023046)
Source: RNAcentral